AGAGUUUGAUCCUGGCUCAGGAUGAACGCUGGCGGCGUGCCUAAUACAUGCAAGUCGAGCGAACCACUUCGGUGGUGAGCAGCGAACGGGUGAGUAACACGUAGGUGAUCUGCCCAUCAGACGGGGACAACGAUUGGAAACGAUCGCUAAUACCGGAUAGGACGAAAGUUUAAAGGUGCUCCUGGCACCGCUGAUGGAUGAGCCUGCGGCGCAUUAGCUAGUUGGUAGGGUAAAGGCCUACCAAGGCGACGAUGCGUAGCCGACCUGAGAGGGUGAACGGCCACACUGGGACUGAGACACGGCCCAGACUCCUACGGGAGGCAGCAGUAGGGAAUCUUCGGCAAUGGGCGAAAGCCUGACCGAGCAACGCCGCGUGAAUGAUGAAGGCCUUCGGGUUGUAAAAUUCUGUUAUAAGGGAAGAACGACUUUAGUAGGAAAUGGCUAGAGUGUGACGGUACCUUAUGAGAAAGCCACGGCUAACUACGUGCCAGCAGCCGCGGUAAUACGUAGGUGGCGAGCGUUAUCCGGAAUUAUUGGGCGUAAAGAGCGCGCAGGUGGUUGAUUAAGUCUGAUGUGAAAGCCCACGGCUUAACCGUGGAGGGUCAUUGGAAACUGGUCGACUUGAGUGCAGAAGAGGGAAGUGGAAUUCCAUGUGUAGCGGUGAAAUGCGUAGAGAUAUGGAGGAACACCAGUGGCGAAGGCGGCUUCCUGGUCUGUAACUGACACUGAGGCGCGAAAGCGUGGGGAGCAAACAGGAUUAGAUACCCUGGUAGUCCACGCCGUAAACGAUGAGUGCUAAGUGUUGGGGGUCGAACCUCAGUGCUGAAGUUAACGCAUUAAGCACUCCGCCUGGGGAGUACGGUCGCAAGACUGAAACUCAAAGGAAUUGACGG
This 893-nucleotide ribosomal RNA is filed under the name uncultured bacterium. RNAcentral's name for it is "bacterial SSU rRNA". It matches the Rfam family "Bacterial small subunit ribosomal RNA", at positions 8 to 916 of the family's 1533-position model. The record is from RNAcentral.